Molecule: transfer RNA, 70 nt
Filed under: Forcipiger flavissimus
Lineage: Eukaryota; Metazoa; Chordata; Actinopteri; Chaetodontiformes; Chaetodontidae
Description: tRNA-Asp
Rfam family: tRNA
About the family: Transfer RNA (tRNA) molecules are approximately 80 nucleotides in length. Their secondary structure includes four short double-helical elements and three loops (D, anti-codon, and T loops).
Source: RNAcentral
AAGACACUAGUAAAAUAAAUUACCUUGCCUUGUCAAGGCACCAUUGUAGGUUAGAGUCCUGCGUGUCUUA